UACUAAGUUUCAACAACGGAUCUCUUGGNUCUCGCAUCGAUGAAGAACGCAGCGAAAUGCGAUAAGUAAUGUGAAUUGCAGAAUUCAGUGAAUCAUCGAAUCUUU
Molecule: ribosomal RNA, 105 nt
Filed under: Rhizoctonia solani
Lineage: Eukaryota; Fungi; Basidiomycota; Agaricomycetes; Cantharellales; Ceratobasidiaceae
Description: 5.8S ribosomal RNA
Rfam family: 5.8S ribosomal RNA
About the family: 5.8S ribosomal RNA (5.8S rRNA) is a component of the large subunit of the eukaryotic ribosome. It is transcribed by RNA polymerase I as part of the 45S precursor that also contains 18S and 28S rRNA. Functionally, it is thought that 5.8S rRNA may be involved in ribosome translocation.
Source: RNAcentral